This 561-nucleotide small RNA is filed under the name Pongo abelii (Sumatran orangutan). RNAcentral describes it as "retained intron". The record is from RNAcentral. Lineage: Eukaryota; Metazoa; Chordata; Mammalia; Primates; Hominidae.
GUUGCGAUGUGACCUGCCCUCAAAGAGGUAAGAGUGAGGCCGGCGUGGCCGAGUUCAGCUCUGUGGGACAGGAGACAGGGACAGGGCACCUGCUGCUUCUCCCUUCAGAUGCAGCUGAUGCCUCAGAAGCCAGUUAAGGUAGAGGCUGUAGCAUGUGGGAAGGUGGGGGACACCCGUGCUGAAAUCCUGUUGUUACACUGAAGAGGAACAGGACAAGGGACUGUGCCUUCCUGGGGCUGACUUUGUUCCCGUCUCCUCCGUAGCCAAGCCCUCAAUGUCAGGCUGCACCUUCCCCUGCCUCGAGGGGUGGUCAGCCUGUCUCAGGAGCUGAGCAGCCCAGAGCAGAAGGCUGAGCUGGCAGAGGGAGCCCUUCGCUGGGACCUGCCUCGGGUGCAAGGAGGCUCUCAACUCUCAGGCCUUUUCCAGAUGGAUGUCCCAGGGCCCCCAGGACCUCCCAGCCAUGGGCUCUCCACCUCGGCCUCUCCUCUGGGGCUCGGCCCUGCCAGUCUCUCCUUCGAGCUUCCCCGGCACACAUGCUCUGGCCUCCAGGUCCGAUUCCUC